AAACUGUUGACUGGUACUGUAUGCUCAGGGCUAGUGUGUCUUUGUUUUUGCAUUAUUUAAACAUGUUUCAUUAUUUGAGACUAAAUUGAUUUUUAUUGAUGUAUUAUAUUAGGUUAAAAUAAGUGUUAAUUUGGUAUUGUUGUAAUUGUCAUCACUACAAAUAAAUAAAACAAAAUCGGCCGAUUAAAUCGGUAUCAGCUUUUUUGGUCCUCCAAUAAAUCGGUAUUGGCGUUGAAAAAUCACAAUCGGCCGACCUAUACUAUCAGCCGACCUAUACUACUACCUGGUCAAAAGUGCCCUAUAUAGAGAAUAGGGUGCUUUUAGGGAUGCAACCCACACUGUUCUGAGGGAUAAACUGAAAAAUACAGCUACGCUUCACACAAACAUCUCUGUCCUAUUUAAAGCAUGAUGGUGACACAUAUAUACAGAGGGUUAUGGAGCUGGUUGAGUAAGUUAACAAUAAAGAGUAGUACUAUAUAUGGAUGAAACGGUUACCGGUUUCACGAUAAACCACAGUAAAAUUCCUGACGAUUAGUAUUGCCUUUUCAAUUAUCAUUAAAACCGUGUUUGAUUACCGCGGUUUGAAAAACUCACGGUAAAUACUGUCCAGCAUCAACCAAAGUUAGCAACAGUCUGACGUAGGCGCAGCACGCAACGUGGCGUCAUGUGAAACAUGGCGUAAGGCAGUGACAGCACUCGGGAGAUGUUUCUGCCUUCUAAGAGGACCAAAUCUGAAGGGUGGUCAUAUGUUGGGUUUUACGAAAGUGCUUAGGGAAACUUAAAAAUCGAAGAUGGUCACCCUGUCUGCAGAACACGCAACAACAACAAAAAAUGCCGCGAAAGGGGGCAACACUUCAAAUCUCUUGAGUCAUCUUCGUGACCACCACCAACUACUUUAUAGGGAAUGCUAGAGUGGGCGUGCAAGCAGGCAAACCCAGUGAUGCUACUGGUCCCUCAUCUACAGUUGUAACACAGACACUCGAGCAAGCAUUUUUUUUUAAAAGGCAGGCUGCGGAUGCACCCACAUCAAAAACAAAUGCUCAAGACCUCACUACAGCCUUUUCAUACUACAUUGCAAAGGAGAUGAUGCCAUUUCAAAAAUUGUUGAGAGGCCUGGCUUUGAGGCUGAUGAAGGUUGCCGUGCCUCACUACAAAGUGAGUGCUACUAAUUUUAUUUUUGGUUUCUUUAUUUGGAUUUGCUUACUUCAGGUUGUGUUCGAUUAAACCUGCACUGGGGAAACUUACCUCUCAUGGCCACAUAGUGUCAUCUUUAAUGUUAUUAGUUUAAUGUUUAUGGACACAAAGUGCAUUGUGCUGCUAAUUUUAUUUGUUGUUUGUUGGUUUUCAAAAUAAAACUUGGUGAAAUUA
Molecule: long non-coding RNA, 1368 nt
Organism: Oncorhynchus keta (chum salmon)
Lineage: Eukaryota; Metazoa; Chordata; Actinopteri; Salmoniformes; Salmonidae
Exons: 2
Source: RefSeq, a predicted model, not a curated record